ACGGGAGGCAGCAGUGAGGAAUAUUGGUCAAUGGACGAGAGUCUGAACCAGCCAAGUAGCGUGCAGGAUGACGGCCCUAUGGGUUGUAAACUGCUUUUGUACGGGAAUAAAGUGACCUACGUGUAGGUUUUUGCAUGUACCGUAAGAAUAAGGACCGGCUAAUUCCGUGCCAGCAGCCGCGGUAAUACGGAAGGUCCGGGCGUUAUCCGGAUUUAUUGGGUUUAAAGGGAGCGUAGGCGGCCGGUUAAGUCUGCGGUCAAAUGUCAGGGCCCAACCUUGGCAUGCCGUGGAUACUGUCCGGCUUGAGUGCACACAAGGAAGGUGGAAUUCGUCGUGUAGCGGUGAAAUGCUUAGAUAUGACGAAGAACUCCGAUUGCGAAGGCAGCCUUCUGGGGUGUUACUGACGCUGAGGCUCGAAAGUGCGGGAAUCAAACAGGAUUAGAUACCCUGGUA
Molecule: ribosomal RNA, 453 nt
Filed under: uncultured Paraprevotella sp.
Lineage: Bacteria; Pseudomonadati; Bacteroidota; Bacteroidia; Bacteroidales; Prevotellaceae
Description: partial 16S ribosomal RNA
Rfam family: Bacterial small subunit ribosomal RNA
Source: RNAcentral